RNAcentral lists this ribosomal RNA (429 nucleotides) under Gemmatimonadota bacterium. RNAcentral's name for it is "Gemmatimonadetes bacterium partial 16S ribosomal RNA". It matches the Rfam family "Bacterial small subunit ribosomal RNA", at positions 355 to 776 of the family's 1533-position model. Lineage: Bacteria; Pseudomonadati; Gemmatimonadota. The record is from RNAcentral.
UAGGGAAUCUUCGGCAAUGGACGAAAGUCUGACCGAGCAACGCCGCGUGAGUGAAGAAGGUUUUCGGAUCGUAAAACUCUGUUGUUAGAGAAGAACAAGGACGUUAGUAACUGAACGUCCCCUGACGGUAUCUAACCAGAAAGCCACGGCUAACUACGUGCCAGCAGCCGCGGUAAAACGUAGGUGGCAAGCGUUGUCCGGAUUUAUUGGGCGUAAAGCGAGCGCAGGCGGUUUCUUAAGUCUGAUGUGAAAGCCCCCGGAUCAACCGGGGAGGGUCAUUGGAAACUGGGAGACUUGAGUGCAGAAGAGGGGAGUGGAAUUCCAUGUGUAGCGGUGAAAUGCGUAGAUAUAUGGAGGAACACCAGUGGCGAAGGCGGCUCUCUGGUCUGUAACUGACGCUGAGGCUCGAAAGCGUGGGGAGCAAACAGG